Molecule: ribosomal RNA, 479 nt
Filed under: uncultured bacterium
Lineage: Bacteria
Description: bacterial SSU rRNA
Rfam family: Bacterial small subunit ribosomal RNA
Source: RNAcentral
UGCGAACUCCUACGGGAGGCAGCAGUGGGGAAUUUUGGACAAUGGGGGCAACCCUGAUCCAGCAAUGCCGCGUGAGUGAAGAAGGCCUUCGUGGUGUAAAGCUCUUUUGUCAGGGAAGAAACGGUAGUAGCUAAUAUCUAUUACUAAUGACGGUACCCGAAGAAUAAGAACCGCCGAACUACGUGCCAGCAGCCGCGGUAAUACGUAGGGUGCAAGCGUUAAUCGGAAUUACUGGGCGUAAAGCGUGCGCAGGCGGUUGUGUAAGUCAGAUGUGAAAUCCCCGGGCUCAACCUGGGAAUUGCAUUUGAGACUGCACGGCUAGAGUGUGGCAGAGGGGGGUAGAAUUCCACGUGUAGCAGUGAAAUGCGUAGAUAUGUGGAGGAAUACCGAUGGCGAAGGCAGCCCCCUGGGAUAACACUGCCGCUCAGGCACGAAAGCGUGGGGAGCAAACAGGAUUAGAAACCCUUGUAGUCCAGAUG